This 448-nucleotide ribosomal RNA is filed under the name uncultured bacterium. RNAcentral describes it as "partial 16S ribosomal RNA". It matches the Rfam family "Bacterial small subunit ribosomal RNA", at positions 330 to 795 of the family's 1533-position model. The record is from RNAcentral.
CCCAGACUCCUACGGGAGGCAGCAGUGGGGGAUAUUGCACAAUGGGGGAAACCCUGAUGCAGCGACGCCGCGUGAGUGAAGAAGUAAUUCGUUAUGUAAAGCUCUAUCAGCAGGGAAGAAAAUGACGGUACCUGAGUAAGAAGCCCCGGCUAACUACGUGCCAGCAGCCGCGGUAAUACGUAGGGGGCAAGCGUUAUCCGGAUUUACUGGGUGUAAAGGGGGCGCAGACGGCAGCGCAAGCCAGGAGUGAAAGCCCGGGGCCCAACCCCGGGACUGCUCUUGGAACUGCGCGGCUGGAGUGCAGGAGGGGCAGGCGGAAUUCCUGGUGUAGCGGUGAAAUGCGUAGAUAUCAGGAGGAACACCGGUGGCGAAGGCGGCCUGCUGGGCUGCGACUGACGUUGAGGCCCGAAAGCGUGGGGAGCAAACAGGAUUAGAUACCCCGGUAGCA